This 449-nucleotide ribosomal RNA is filed under the name Bacillus sp. R-30828. RNAcentral's name for it is "bacterial SSU rRNA". It matches the Rfam family "Bacterial small subunit ribosomal RNA", at positions 34 to 475 of the family's 1533-position model. The record is from RNAcentral. Lineage: Bacteria; Bacillati; Bacillota; Bacilli; Caryophanales; Bacillaceae.
CGCUGGCGGCGUGCYUAAUACAUGCAAGUCGAGCGGACCGAYGGGAGCUUGCUCCCUUAGGUCAGCGGCGGACGGGUGAGUAACACGUGGGUAACCUGCCUGUAAGACUGGGAUAACUCCGGGAAACCGGGGCUAAUACCGGAUGCUUGAUUGAACCGCAUGGUUCAAUCAUAAAAGGUGGCUUUYAGCUACCACUURCAGAUGGACCCGCGGCGCAUUAGCUAGUUGGUGAGGUAACGGCUCACCAAGGCGACGAUGCGUAGCCGACCUGAGAGGGUGAUCGGCCACACUGGGACUGAGACACGGCCCAGACUCCUACGGGAGGCAGCAGUAGGGAAUCUUCCGCAAUGGACGAAAGUCUGACGGAGCAACGCCGCGUGAGUGAUGAAGGUUUUCGGAUCGUAAAACUCUGUUGUUAGGGAAGAACAAGUACCGUUCGAAUAGGGCGG